Grammomys surdaster is the source of this 134-nucleotide small nucleolar RNA. RefSeq annotates it as small nucleolar RNA SNORA67. NCBI's taxonomy places the organism in Eukaryota, Metazoa, Chordata, Mammalia, Rodentia, Muridae. The transcript has a single exon. The record is from RefSeq and is a predicted model, not a curated record.
UUCCCCCUCUCCAAAGGGCUGACCGUGUGCCCUUUUCAGGAACGUGGCAUCUUGGAAUGAAGCUAGUCAUGGCCAAGAUCUCUGGUGAGCAAGGAAAACAUGUUUCUUCUGCCUUCCUUUGGCUGCCUACGUGU